This is an RNA transcript of Scomber scombrus (Atlantic mackerel), 3713 nucleotides long. It is a transcript of the gene named dystrobrevin, alpha, with no coding region annotated. The record is from RefSeq and is a predicted model, not a curated record. NCBI's taxonomy places the organism in Eukaryota, Metazoa, Chordata, Actinopteri, Scombriformes, Scombridae. The transcript is spliced from 20 exons.
AGGAGAGCGGCGUUAAGAAGGGUUAGCCGCUUCGUGCAGUGAUGCAGCAGCCUACACCAAAGAAACCUUGAUCGCACCGCAGGACACGACCGGCUGUGGGAUCCCUGGGCGGAAAACAGUGAUGUUGCAUGACAUGCCUCGAAAUAAAUUCUGAAUGAUUGAAGACUGCGGGUGGAGCGGUGACAACAUGGCAGAUAGAAGGCAACUGUUUGUCGAGAUGAGGGCUCAUGAUUUGGACUCCAUACGAUUAUCGACAUACAGAACAGCCUGCAAACUCAGAUUUGUGCAGAAGAAAUGUAAUUUGCAUUUGGUUGACAUCUGGAAUGUCAUUGAGGCUUUCCGAGAAUGCGGCCUCAACACCAUGGACCUCAAUGCUGAGCUCACAGUGGCUCGUCUAGAAGUGGUACUGUCCACUAUUUUUUACCAGCUGAACAAGCGCAUGCCCACCACCCACCAGAUCCACGUGGAACAGUCCAUCAGCCUGCUGCUCAACUUCCUGCUGGCAGCCUACGACCCGGAGGGCCAUGGCAAGAUAUCUGUCUUUGUUGGGAAGACGGCCCUGGCGACCAUCUGUGGAGGGAAGAUUCUGGAUAAAUUAAGAUAUAUUUUUUCACUGAUAUCAGAUUCCUCUGGGAUAAUGGUGUACUCACAGUUUGACCAGUUUCUGAGGGAGGUUCUCAAAUUACCUAUGUCGGUUUUCGAGGGACCUUCUUUUGGUUACACUGAACAAGCUGCAAGAACCUGCUUUGCACAGCAGAAAAAGGUCUCCCUCAACACAUUCCUUGAUACGGUGAUGUCAGACCCGCCCCCUCAGUGUCUGGUGUGGUUACCACUCAUGCAUCGGCUCGCUAACGUGGAGAACGUCUUUCACCCGGUCGAGUGCUCCUACUGCCAUACUGAGAGUAUGAUGGGCUUCCGCUACCGCUGCCAGCAAUGUCAUAAUUACCAGCUCUGUCAGGACUGCUUCUGGAGGGGGCAUGCCAGCGAUUCCCAUAGCAACCAGCACCAAAUGAAGGAGUAUACGUCAUGGAAAUCCCCUGCUAAGAAAUUAUCCCAUGCACUCGGUAAGUCCCUGAGCUGUGCAUCCAGCAGAGAGCCUCUUCACCCCAUGCUUUCCGAGAUACCAGAGAAACCUCUGAACCUAGCUCAUAUUGUGCCACCAAGACCGGUGAAUAUCACCAAUGAAUACUCACUCUCCCACUCCAUGCCUACGUCAGGGAACCCUUACUCCACCAAAAAGUUAAACUACAACCUUGAUGUUGCUGAUAGACUUGCUGACGAACAUGUUCUGAUUGGCCUCUAUGUGAAUCUGCUCCAAAACAACCCCAAAACAUGUUUGCUGGAGAGCAGUAACCAUCAAGAUGAAGAGCACAGUCUCAUCGCCCGCUAUGCUGCUAGACUGGCUGCUGAUGCUGCGGCUCAGCAGCAGAGGGUCCCCACAGACCUCCCGUGCUCUCUGGAUGCCAACAAACAGCAGAGGCAGCUCAUUGCUGAGCUUGAGAGCAAAAACAGAGAAAUCCUGCAGGAAAUCCAGCGACUGCGCCUUCAACAUGAGGAGGCCUCCCAGCCGCCACCUGACAAGGGUCAGCAGAACCCCACUCUGCUGGCUGAGUUACGACUUCUCAGGCAACGCAAAGAUGAACUUGAACAAAGAAUGUCUACUCUGCAAGAGAGUCGCAGGGAACUGAUGGUGCAGCUGGAGCAACUAAUGAUGCUUCUCAAGACUCAGGGUCCCGGCUCUCCGCGCUCUUCCCCCAGUCACACCAUCAACCGGUCAAUCCCCACACCGAUCCACUCAGAUUCUGCCGGCACGACUCCGACUCACACACCUCAGGACUCACUCAUGGGCGUGGGAGGGGAUGUUCAGGAGGCCUUCGCUCAGGGGCCGAGGAGAAAUUUGAGAAAUGACCUGCUCAUUGCUGCUGACUCCAUCACCAACACAAUGUCAUCACUGGUUAAAGAACUAAAUUCAGAGGGUGGAAGUGAGACUGAGAGCACUGUGGAUUCAGACUUUGGGCGUGGUGAAGUGUUGGCCACAACCUCUUCAGACCCCUUCUUCCCUUAUAAACCAAGGACUACUAGCGCUGCAGAGGAAGAGAGCUAUGAGAAUGAUCUGGAGCAGCAGCUGGAGGACGAGCUCAAGUUGGAGGAGCUUAUGAAGCACAGGCAGGAACCAGACAAAGCGUGCAUGGUGAGUUUUAGCAUUUCUAAGACUGGGGUGAAGUCACAGUAGAAAGCUGCAUAUUGUGCAUAUUGCACAUCUGCAUAGUGUGAUUUGAAUCUUGAAACUGUUCCCAGUCAAUUCUGCUCUAACAAUCUGCUGUGUGUGUUUUGGUGAUGUUCAUACUGUCGUACAGGUGACACUGCAGCAGUGACUGUGGUAGUCCAGGUAACUGGCGAGCAAUAUGAAAAACAACAAUAGUAGAAGACACUGGACAAGACAACACUGGGCAGACGGUACGGAACACUGAAGAAAUGAAGAAUUUAAGUUGAAAGAAAAAUAAUUGCUAAAUCCAACCAUAGAAUACAUUUAGGUAAAGAUAUAUUUUUUAACCAACCACAUAUUUAAGGUAAUACUGUGAGCUGAUGUAAAGAGAUUAAUUACUGAGCUGUCUAUUAUACCACAGGUGCCAUAAAAACCACAUGAUUUUGAGGAAUUCUUUUUUUAAUUUGUGUCCUUUUUAUAUGAGUGGUCAAGCAGAUGUACAACUUCACUGUUAGUACAGGGAUGGCAAAACCAGAUUCUUUCAAAUUCUCAUGUUUCUGAAUACAGUAAACCAGGUUUAAGUGUUUGUUUGUCAUCUGAUUUAUGAUAUAAACCUGAGAUUAUGUUGGAGUUAAAGUUAUAGAUGAUCAAAUUUGCAAUAUUUUGUAAAUGUAUAACUCUGGCCUGGUUACUAUGAACAGAUUUUACCACUAUUCCAUAGAUUUCUUACUGUUGCUGUUGAGUGGAUUUUGUAUUGUUUUUGGACUUUUUGGAGCAGGCUGACUGCUAUUUAUCAGAUAGGUUUGUUUUAUUUGAUACAUUAGUAAUAACAAUGCGCACUGCCUUACCUGAUUGGAUGACCUCUUGAUGGAGUUCCUUCAACCUGUCAAAGCAGCAUGUAGCUAACAACAAAACACACCUGUUCAGCAGCAAUGGGAGUUGUUGUCACUGGACAGAUGAGGUUAAACUCCUUUAAUCUGAUGCUUGGAAGUGAUAUUGUCUGCAGAGGGAUUUAGUCUGCAAAUAUGUACACUGUCUACAUAUAAACUGUCAGCUAAAUCUAAGAUGUAGUUAAAUUGGUUUCUGAUAAUGUCUGAAAGUGUUUUUAAUUACAGUGGAAAUUGUGUAAAAUAAAAUUAGCACAUUAAAGACGUGUGAGACUUCCAAAUUGUUCAAAUUCAAAGGUUUACACUGGUAAGGGCAUUGAAGAACUUGUUUACUAUCAAUGGUUUAUGAAUUAAUGUUUGAUCAUUUGCCAUUGUUUCAUUUGUUGGCAUCAAUGCUCUCACAAAGAAUCUCUGUGUAACUUGCCCACCAACGCACACACACUCUCUUGAUGUAUUUUCUCUGAGUGUGUGUUUAAACUUUAUGGAGUCACUUUGGGGGGAAAAGUGGCAAGCCAAUCUAAAAUAAUACAUGUGUGAAAUAUAUCUAGUUUGAUUUUUGAGCAAGUUCAUAGCAGUGAUUUUUGCAUGGUGGUGAUCCAUAAUAAAGUGUUGACACAAUA